CAGAGGGUGCAAGCGUUGUUCGGAAUUAUUGGGCGUAAAGCGCGUGUAGGCGGCUUGUUAAGUCGGGUGUGAAAGCCCUCAGCUCAACUAGAGGAAGGGCGCCCGAAACUGGCGAGCUUGAGUGUCGGAGAGGAUGGCGGAAUACCCCAAGUAGAGGUGAAAUUCGUAGAUAUGGGGUGGAACACCGGUGGCGAAGGCGGCCAUCUGGACGACAACUGACGCUGAGACGCGAAAGCGUGGGGAGCAAACAGGAUUAGAUACCCUGGUAGUCCACGCCGUAAACGAUGAGAACUAGGUGUCGUGGGUGUUGACCCCUGCGGUGCCGUAGCUAACGCAUUAAGUUCUCCGCCUGGGAAGUACGGUCGCAAGACUA
This 373-nucleotide ribosomal RNA is filed under the name uncultured organism. RNAcentral's name for it is "bacterial SSU rRNA". It matches the Rfam family "Bacterial small subunit ribosomal RNA", at positions 526 to 896 of the family's 1533-position model. The record is from RNAcentral.